UGGCAUCCAAGAUAGGAGUUUGGCCCAGG
This 29-nucleotide non-coding RNA is filed under the name Rattus norvegicus (Norway rat). The record is from RNAcentral. Lineage: Eukaryota; Metazoa; Chordata; Mammalia; Rodentia; Muridae.